CCGCUCUAGACUAGUGGAUCCCCCGGGCUGCAGCCCAAUGUGGAAUUCGCCCUUCGCCCGCCGCGCGCGGCGGGCGGGGCGGGGGCACGGGGGGCCUACGGGAGGCAGCAGUGGGGAAUAUUGCACAAUGGGCGCAAGCCUGAUGCAGCGACGCCGCGUGAGGGAUGGAGGCCUUCGGGUUGUAAAC
RNAcentral lists this ribosomal RNA (187 nucleotides) under uncultured Bifidobacterium sp. RNAcentral describes it as "partial 16S ribosomal RNA". It matches the Rfam family "Bacterial small subunit ribosomal RNA", at positions 264 to 430 of the family's 1533-position model. Lineage: Bacteria; Bacillati; Actinomycetota; Actinomycetes; Bifidobacteriales; Bifidobacteriaceae. The record is from RNAcentral.